RNAcentral lists this ribosomal RNA (422 nucleotides) under uncultured bacterium. RNAcentral's name for it is "bacterial SSU rRNA". It matches the Rfam family "Bacterial small subunit ribosomal RNA", at positions 355 to 774 of the family's 1533-position model. The record is from RNAcentral.
UGGGGAAUUUUGGACAAUGGGCGCAAGCCUGAUCCAGCAAUGCCGCGUGCAGGAUGAAGCAUCUAUGGUGUGUAAACUGCUUUUGUACGGGAAGAAACACUCCUACGUGUAGGAGCUUGACGGUACCGUAAGAAUAAGGAUCGGCUAACUCCGUGCCAGCAGCCGCGGUAAUACGGAGGAUCCAAGCGUUAUCCGGAAUCAUUGGGUUUAAAGGGUCCGUAGGCGGUUUAGUAAGUCAGUGGUGAAAGCCCAUCGCUCAACGAUGGAACGGCCAUUGAUACUGUUAGACUUGAAUUAUUAGGAAGUAACUAGAAUAUGUAGUGUAGCGGUGAAAUGCUUAGAUAUCACAUGGAAUACCAAUUGCGAAGGCAGGUUACUACUAAUGGACUGACGCUGAGGUGCGAAAGCGUGGGGAGCAAACA